Molecule: ribosomal RNA, 497 nt
Filed under: uncultured bacterium
Lineage: Bacteria
Description: partial 16S ribosomal RNA
Rfam family: Bacterial small subunit ribosomal RNA
Source: RNAcentral
GAUGAACGCUGGCGGCGUGCCUAAUACAUGCAAGUCGAGCGAACAGACGAGGAGCUUGCUCCUCUGACGUUAGCGGCGGACGGGUGAGUAACACGUGGAUAACCUACCUAUAAGACUGGGAUAACUUCGGGAAACCGGAGCUAAUACCGGAUAACAUGUUGAACCGCAGGGGUGAACAGUGAAAGACGGUCUUGCUGGCACGUAUAGAUGGAUCCGCGCCGCAUUAGCUAGUUGGUAAGGUAACGGCUUACCAAGGCAACGAUGCGUAGCCGACCUGAGAGGGUGAUCGGCCACACUGGAACUGCGACACGGUCCAGACUCCUACGGGAGGCAGCAGUAGGGAAUCUUCCGCAAUGGGCGAAAGCCUGACGGAGCAACGCCGCGUGAGUGAAGAAGGUCUUCGGAUCGUAAAACUCUGUUAUUAGUGAAGAACAAAUGUGUAAGUAACUAUGCACGUCUUGACGGUACCUAAUCAGAAAGCCACGGCUAACUACGUG